GUGAGUAAUGUCUGGGAAACUGCCUGAUGGAGGGGGAUAACUACUGGAAACGGUAGCUAAUACCGCAUAACGUCUUCUGACCUAAGUGGGGGACCUUCGGGCCUCACGCCAUCAGAUGUGCCCAUAUGGGAUUAGCUAGUAGGUGGGGUAAUGGCUCACCUAGGCGACGAUCCCUAGCUGGUCUGAGAGGAUGACCAGUCACACUGGAACUGAGACACGGUCCAGACUCCUACGGGAGGCAGCAGUGGGGAAUAUUGCACAAUGGGCGCAAGCCUGAUGCAGCCAUGCCGCGUGUGUGAAGAAGGCCUUCGGGUUGUAAAGCACUUUCAGCGAGGAGGAAGGGUGGUGUGUUAAUAGCGCAUCACAUUGACGUUACUCGCAGAAGAAGCACCGGCUAACUCCUUGCCAGCAGCCGCGGUAAUACGGAGGGUGCAAGCGUUAAUCGGAAUUACUUGGGC
RNAcentral lists this ribosomal RNA (458 nucleotides) under uncultured bacterium. RNAcentral's name for it is "bacterial SSU rRNA". It matches the Rfam family "Bacterial small subunit ribosomal RNA", at positions 106 to 560 of the family's 1533-position model. The record is from RNAcentral.